CCUGAACUCCUGGCUAGCGGCAGCGGUAAUUCGGAUGGUUCCAGCGUGAAUCGUAAGUACUGGGCGUAAAUCGCACGCAGGCCGUCAAUUAAGUCAGAUGUGAAAGCCCCGUGCUUAACUUUGGAAUUGCAUCUGAAACUGGUGGGCUAGAGUCUUGUAGAGGGGGGUAGAAUUCCAUGUGUAGCGGUGAAAUGCGUAGAGAUGUGGAGGAAUACCGGUGGCGAAGGCGGCCCCCUGGACAAAGACUGACGCUCAGGUGCGAAAGCGUGGGGAGCAAACAGGAUUAGAUACCCCAGUAGUC
Molecule: ribosomal RNA, 301 nt
Filed under: uncultured Lactobacillus sp.
Lineage: Bacteria; Bacillati; Bacillota; Bacilli; Lactobacillales; Lactobacillaceae
Description: partial 16S ribosomal RNA
Rfam family: Bacterial small subunit ribosomal RNA
Source: RNAcentral